ACAUUGAAAUACCGGUUCUCAUACGAUCACCGAGGUUAAGCAACGUCGAGCCUGGUCAGUAUGUAGAAGGGUGACAGCUUGGGAAAACCGGCUACUGUAA
Non-coding RNA from Acanthosepion pharaonis, 100 nucleotides. NCBI's taxonomy places the organism in Eukaryota, Metazoa, Mollusca, Cephalopoda, Sepiida, Sepiidae. The record is from the annotation of a GenBank genome assembly.